Phascolarctos cinereus (koala) is the source of this 172-nucleotide non-coding RNA. The record is from RefSeq and is a predicted model, not a curated record. Lineage: Eukaryota; Metazoa; Chordata; Mammalia; Diprotodontia; Phascolarctidae.
UCCCAAGGAACCUCACAAAGCUCUCCUAAGAGGAUUUUGCUGCACCCUUCUCCCGACAAGCCUGUUCCUUUUGAUUGAGCACGCCAAAAGAAAAAGCAUAGUUUUGGUGAACCUAAUCUAGCCUCCUCCUCCUCCCAGCUCCCAAGUGAGGGGCCCCAGCCUGAGUUUCCCA